RNAcentral lists this non-coding RNA (78 nucleotides) under Hyphomonas sp. The record is from RNAcentral. Lineage: Bacteria; Pseudomonadati; Pseudomonadota; Alphaproteobacteria; Hyphomonadales; Hyphomonadaceae.
CUGCUUUCCUGUGGUGAUUUGGCCGGUCGGCUUGCAGCCACGUUAAACAAGUCGCUAAAAGGCCGCGCGGACAUGCCU